AGAUCCAUCAAUGAACAUGGAGAGAAAUACUCUGAUAAUGUGACUUUAAAUGUCAUGUAUCCACCCAGGAACGUCUCAGUGUUGAUAACUGGAUCUGGUGAAAUAGUGUCAGGAGAUUCAGUGACUCUGAUCUGCAGCAGUGAUUCAAACCCUCCUGCUCUGAACUUCAGCUGGUUUAAGGAGAAUGAAAGCUCAGCUGUUGGAUCUGGACAGAGUUUCAGUGCACUACAGAGUGGACGCUUCUACUGUCAGGCUCACAAUCAACAUGGAUCUCAGAGAUCAGACGCUGUAACUGUCACAGGUGAAGGUUUGGAAACCUGUAUAUAACUUUCUUCAGUCUGGACAGUUCAUCUUAGCUGACAAUGUUUCUCUCUUUCAGAGCAUCAUAGAUCCAGUUGGCAUGUAGUUUUUGGAAUCACAGUGAAAUGUGGAUCAUUUUUCAUCCUCGCCAUCAUCAUUAUCAUCGUCAUACUGUUUAUAAUAAAGAAACGAAGGAGUGUUAAAACUGAAGAUCUCACAGUGAAACAGCUCUUUUAUUUCAAUGAAGACAAAUACACAACUCUUGAGCUCAAGUCCACGACCUCAGAGCUUUUCUAAACAUCACAAUCCAUCAGUAAGCCACCUGCAGAUCUUCUCAAUUUAAUCAAUUAAACUGCCUUCAAUACUAGUUUGACUGUUAUGUAUUCUGUGAAAAAUGUAUAAUGUUAUCUUUCUUUAUCUCAAAGCAGGUUCACACUGUGUGAUUUUUCACCGGUUGUUUCUUGUGAGACUGUACAAACACUGUAAGCCUGUUACACUGUAGGAUCUCAGCUGCCAGUCAUGAUGUAUUAAACAAGCAAGAAGACUCAACUGGAGUUUUUCAUCAAUCUGUGACACGUUCAGUGACUGUGAGCUGCAUUUAUGGAAAUGGUGGCUAG
Long non-coding RNA from Megalobrama amblycephala (Wuchang bream), 917 nucleotides. RefSeq lists it as uncharacterized. The record is from RefSeq and is a predicted model, not a curated record. NCBI's taxonomy places the organism in Eukaryota, Metazoa, Chordata, Actinopteri, Cypriniformes, Xenocyprididae. The transcript is spliced from 4 exons.